This 1206-nucleotide ribosomal RNA is filed under the name Oreochromis niloticus (Nile tilapia). RNAcentral describes it as "SSU rRNA". It matches the Rfam family "Eukaryotic small subunit ribosomal RNA", at positions 1 to 1220 of the family's 1831-position model. The record is from RNAcentral. Lineage: Eukaryota; Metazoa; Chordata; Actinopteri; Cichliformes; Cichlidae.
ACCUGGUUAUCCUGCAGUAGCAUAUGCUUGUCUCAAGAUUAAGCCAUUGCAGGUCUAAGUACACGCGGCCGUACAGUGAAACUGCGAAUGGCUCAUUAAUCAGUUAUGGUUCCUUUGAUCGCUCAUCCGUUACUUGGAUAACUGUGGCAAUUCUAGAGCUAAUACAUGCAAACGAGCGCUGACCCUCCGGGUAUGCGUGCAUUUAAUCAGACCCAAAACCAUGCGGGGCGUCCUCUCGGGGGCGCCCCGGCCGCGUUGGUGACUCUAGAUAACCUCGAGCCGAUCGCUGGCCCUCGUGGCGCGACGUCUCAUUCGAAUGUCGCCCUAUCAACUUUCGAUGUACUUUAUGUGCCUAAUGGUGACCACGGUAACGGGAAUCAGGUUCGAUUCCGGAGAGGGAGCCUGAGAAACGGCUACCACAUCCAAGGAGGCAGCAGGCGCGCAAAUUACCACUCCCGACUCGGGGAGUAGUGACAAAAAAUAACAAUACAGGACUCUUCGAGGCCCUGUAAUUGGAAUGAGUACACUUUAAAUCCUUUAACGAGGAUCCAUUGAGGGCAAGUCUGGUGCCAGCAGCCGCGGUAAUUCCAGCUCCAAUAGCGUAUCUUAAAGUUGCUGCAGUUAAAAAGCUCGUAGUUGGAUCUCGGGAUCGAGCUGACGGUCCGCCGCGAGGCGAGCUACCGUCUGUCCAGCCCCUGCCUCUCGCGCCCCCUCGAUGCUCUUAGCUGAGUGUCCGCGGGGUCGAAGCGUUUACUUUGAAAAAAUUAGAGUGUUCAAAGCAGGCCCGGUCGCCUGAAUACCGCAGCUAGGAAUAAUGGAAUAGGACUCCGGUUCUAUUUUGUGGGUUUUCUCUCUGAACUGGGGCCAUUUAAGAGGGACGCCGGGGGCAUUCGUAUUGUGCCGCUAAGGUGAAAUUCUUGGACCGGCGCAAACGACGAAAGCGAAAGCAUUUGCCAAGAAUGUUUCAUUAAUCAAGAACGAAGUCGGAGGUUCGAAGACGAUCAGAUACCGUCGUAUCCGACCAUAAACGAUGCCAACUAGCGAUCCGGCGGCGUUUUAUUCCAUGACCCGCCGGGCAGCGUCCGGAAACCAAAGUCUUUGGGUUCCGGGGGAGUAUGGUUGCAAAGCUGAACUUAAGGAAUUGACGGAAGGCACCACCAGGAGUGGAGCUGCGGCUUAAUUUGACUCAACACGGGAACCUCACCG